CCUACGGGAGGCAGCAGUGGGGAAUAUUGGACAAUGGGGGGAACCCUGAUCCAGCGACGCCGCGUGAGUGAAGAAGUAUUUCGGUAUGUAAAGCUCUAUCAGCAGGGAAGAAAAUGACGGUACCUGAGUAAGAAGCCCCGGCUAACUACGUGCCAGCAGCCGCGGUAAUACGUAGGGGGCAAGCGUUAUCCGGAUUUACUGGGUGUAAAGGGAGCGUAGACGGCAGUGCAAGUCUGGAGUGAAAGGCGGGGGCUCAACCCCCGGACUGCUCUGGAAACUGUACGGCUGGAGUGCAGGAGAGGUAAGUGGAAGUCCUAGUGUAGCGGUGAAAUGCGUAGAUAUUAGGAGGAACACCAGUGGCGAAGGCGGCUUACUGGACUGUAACUGACGUUGAGGCUCGAAAGCGUGGGGAGCAAACAGGAUUAGAUACCCUAGUAGUC
This 440-nucleotide ribosomal RNA is filed under the name uncultured bacterium. RNAcentral's name for it is "partial 16S ribosomal RNA". It matches the Rfam family "Bacterial small subunit ribosomal RNA", at positions 338 to 795 of the family's 1533-position model. The record is from RNAcentral.